Molecule: long non-coding RNA, 1047 nt
Filed under: Oreochromis niloticus (Nile tilapia)
Lineage: Eukaryota; Metazoa; Chordata; Actinopteri; Cichliformes; Cichlidae
Description: lncRNA (ENSONIG00000038444.1)
Source: RNAcentral
AUGGAAGAACUAAACUAUGCGCCUUAUUUCUUUUCACAGAAAAAAACGUUUUGCAAUAACUCUCGAAGUCACAUAACAAUGCACAACGUGGGUAAUUUAACACUCAAUAUCACUAAUGGUAUGAUUGAUGUCAGGAAUAAUCAGUUUGACUUGAUUAAUAACCGGCAAUUCCCUUUCAUACGAAAUCACGAAACAAUAACUGACAAGCCCAGAACUGCAAUAGACAAUAAAGACUGUGACUCCACGCAAAGCAGCACUGAAAAUUUAGAGGAUCAGGAAGAACACGAAAAAGACUGUGAAAAUUUAGAGGAUCAGGAAGAACACGAAAAAGACUGUGAAAAUUUAAAGGAUCAGGAAGAACACGAAAAAGACUGUGAAAAUUUAGAGGAUCAGGAAGAACACAAAAAAGACUGUGAAAAUUUAGAGGAUCAGGAAGAACACGAAAAAGACUGUGAAAAUUUAGAGAAUCAGGAAGAACACGAAAAAGACUGUGAAAAUUUAGAGGAUCAGGAAGAACACGAAAAAGACUGUGACUCCACGCAAAGCACCUCUGAAAACUCAGAGGUGCUUUCUGUGGAGGAAGAACACGAAAAAAACUGUGACUCCACGCAAAGCGCCUCUGAACACUCCGAGGAUGAGGAAAAAUACAGAUUUUCACUGGAAAUCUGUUUGGAACAGCUGGUUGAAAAGUUUGUAAAAAAAUCAGGCAUAGUCAUCAGUCCGGAAAGGAUUUUUGCCAUCUACAACAGGCUUACCAACAAAAUUUGGGCUGAAAUAAGGGGUGACAUUGAUAAAAUCCCCUUAAAGAAGUUAAAAAACUUCCACAAGGUCAUUUUCAAAGCCCUGUGUAAAAGGUGGAAAGAUCCAGAAUUAAUUCUGGAAAUCAUGGAAUCAGAUAUCCCAAGAUUCGACGAUAAAAUUGUUGACAUUUUCAUAGAGGAGGCAGCCAAACUAUCGAAGAAACCAGGUUGCAUACGUCGUUUUUUCUCAUUUAUAGGCCGACUGUUUUGUUGCACCAGGAGACAAAACAAGGUUGAUGUAAUGUAG